Long non-coding RNA from Acipenser ruthenus (sterlet), 1971 nucleotides. RefSeq lists it as uncharacterized. The record is from RefSeq and is a predicted model, not a curated record. Lineage: Eukaryota; Metazoa; Chordata; Actinopteri; Acipenseriformes; Acipenseridae. The transcript has 3 exons.
CAGACUACUAAGUACAAGCCUAAGCAAUUUUAUUUGUUGCAUCAGAUCUACAUUAAUGUAAGUGUGAAAGACUGACUAACAAGCGGCAUGUGUGGAAGUAAGACUUAACUGCAUAUUUUUAUUUUUCUUGUGUACAAAAUUUUAAUGUACGAAUAAUACUGUAAGCCCAGGAAUAUUUGCUAGCCUUUUAUUACGCAAAUUUGACAUAUGAAACAUUUUUGGCGCGAAUAAUACUAUUGUAAAUGCUUUCAGGAUAACAGGUCCUCUUGUGUAAUUCACCAAAUAUUUUGGCCACGAUAUUUCUGGACUUACAGUAUUUAAAUUUUACCCAAUGAAGAAAAAAAUACUACUGUGUAGGGCAUGUUAAGAAUUCUUGCAUAUAAAAAAAAAAAAAAUUCCUAAUUUUAGGGAAAUUAUUUUUAGAAUUUAAAGUGGUCAAACUUAGUUAAGUAUAUUGCCAUGUCGUUGUAAUGUGGGUGAACAAUAAAUAGUAAAUAUGAAAAUAUUUUAAAGUACAACUAUUAUUACUCUACAGAAUGUUCUUGGGGAUUCACAGCAGCGUGGAGGUGUAGUACUUUGAUAAUCUUGUUCAGACAACGCCAUUUUCUCUCGCGGGAUGUGCUCCAUUUUGUGGGCAUAUUAGGAAUUCUUAAACUCUUAUGGAGAUGGAACAGGAAAGCACUGGGGAUUCUGUUUUAAACUCCCACAUUAGUUCUGUGUUGCCAAACCUCACCACCUGUGUGCUCAAUUCUGUUUUGGACACACUCAAAAACCUGGGUGUAGAAACCCUGGAUGAUUUCAGAUUUGUAAAAGAUGAUGAUCUCCUGAUGGUCCUCAAGCCAAUAGAAGUUCGAAAACUCCUAGCCAGCUUUACAGUCACAUGUGAAACCACGAUUUCCAGCAGUCCAUGCUCAUCCAGAACAGAGACCUCAACAGUCUCCAGCCCAGGGUGCUCUUUUGCACAGAGUUGUAUCGAGUUGGAUGAAUCACUUUCACCUUUGGAAGCUGACUGGUUCCUUCGGUUUUGAGAUACCAUGGGAAAAACUCCCUACUGACCUCCUUUACAAGUUAGAAAGGCCAUCGCCAAAGCAACGCAGAGAAAUGAUACGACUCAUUAUUAAUGAAGUCACAGGGGUCUGCAAGAGGCCUUCAAAGAAACAUCUUACAGAUAUAGCAAGAAGAAUUGUGGCAAAAUAUCCUAAAUCUUUGCAGGAUGUUAUCGAAGGCCACAUAGUUGGCAGUGGAUAUGAUUCCUUGGUAAAACAGCUGCAGAGCAGAGCAGAUAAUGUGAAGCGUACACAGUUUUCUACCCCCAAAAGACAGUUUCAACACAGUAGUGGGAGCGACACGGAAGAAGUUCCUGCAAAGGAACAAGCUUUACCUCAAGACACUUACGGUUGCAUAAACUGGGAUCCCGAGCACCUGCCAAUCACAGAGACACUUACAAGUCAAAAACAGCAACAAGAAGAAAUGAAAACCAUGUUCAGAGAAAGAAACUGGGAUACACAGAUAAUCACCAAAACAAUGGUGGCAACGUACUACACUCAGAAAAAAGACAUCAUCCGAGGUAUGGAAACUGAAAAAAUAAGGAGGGAGUGGCCAUUUCUGUUUGAAAUGCCAGGAUUACAAGCACACUUCAGGGCACUUGCAGGUGUACAAUUAGAAGGGACAUUUUUUGAGACCGUAAAAAAACAAAUCGCACAGAAUUCUGGCCUACAUGGACACUCUCAACAAUGAGAAACAAAGAAAAACUGCAAGAGUUUUGGCACAGAUCGAAGUUGCAAAGAAGGACACAAAGUCUAAAUUACCGGAGAUGCCAGGGUUGGUUUUGCUGCUGCUUGCUUACUUUGGUGAAGACGACAAGCAAAUGUUUUUCCAGGUGGAUGACACUUGCUUACCUUCUGAAGUGCCAACAUCUGAUCUGCCUGCAUCACCUUGCAUUAUUUUCUGUGGUAUGUGUUUUGGUAAUCC